GACAGAGGCCUCGAGCGUUAGGCGGAAUCACUGGGCUUAAAGCGUGUGUAGGCGGACGCCUAAGUACCUUGUGAAAUCCCACGGCUCACCCGUGGAACCGCUGGGUAUACUGGGUGUCUUGGGCCAUUCAGGGGCAACUGGAACAAGCGGUGGAGCGGUGAAAUGCGUAGAGAUGUGGAGGAACACCGAUGGCGAAGGCAGCCUCCUGGGCCAAUACUGACGCUCAUGCACGAAAGCGUGGGGAGCAAACAGG
Molecule: ribosomal RNA, 253 nt
Filed under: uncultured bacterium
Lineage: Bacteria
Description: partial 16S ribosomal RNA
Rfam family: Bacterial small subunit ribosomal RNA
Source: RNAcentral